UACGUAGGGGGCUAGCGUUGUCCGGAAUCAUUGGGCGUAAAGCGCGCGUAGGCGGCCCGGUAAGUCCGCUGUGAAAGUCAAAGGCUCAACCUUUGAAUGUCAGCGGAUACUGCCGGGCUAGAGUCCGGAAGAGGCGAGUGGAACUCCUGGUGUAGCGGUGGAAUGCGCAGAUAUCAGGAGGAACACCGGUGGCGAAGGCGGGUCUCUGGGCCGGUACUGACGCUGAGGAGCGAAAGCGUGGGGAGCGAACAGG
RNAcentral lists this ribosomal RNA (253 nucleotides) under uncultured bacterium. RNAcentral describes it as "partial 16S ribosomal RNA". It matches the Rfam family "Bacterial small subunit ribosomal RNA", at positions 524 to 776 of the family's 1533-position model. The record is from RNAcentral.